CCUACGGGGGGCAGCAGUGAGGAAUCUUGCGCAAUGGGGGAAACCCUGACGCAGCAACGCCGUGUGAGUGAUGAAGGCUUUCGGGUCGUAAAGCUCUGUCAAGUGGGAAGAAUCUGCCUGGUGUUAAUACCAUCAGGCACUGACGGUACCACUGGAGGAAGCACCGGCUAACUCCGUGCCAGCAGCCGCGGUAA
This 194-nucleotide ribosomal RNA is filed under the name uncultured bacterium. Its description in RNAcentral is "partial 16S ribosomal RNA". It matches the Rfam family "Bacterial small subunit ribosomal RNA", at positions 338 to 523 of the family's 1533-position model. The record is from RNAcentral.